Non-coding RNA from Oryctolagus cuniculus (rabbit), 1454 nucleotides. Lineage: Eukaryota; Metazoa; Chordata; Mammalia; Lagomorpha; Leporidae. The record is from RefSeq and is a predicted model, not a curated record.
UACAGUGACCCUGUUACUCCUUUCCCAGAAUGCAGUGAGGGGAGUCAGGAAUGUCUCAGGCCUUCAGUAAAGUCAGCUCAGUUAGCUGAGGUCAUGGGGACGUAAUUCCUUGAGUGAUGAAUUUGUAGCAAGGACCAGAGGUAGAGUGAGGGCUGCAUCUUUUAUGUGAACAUCUUCAGUAGUUUACUGCUUUUAUUCUUCCCCCUGUUUUCAUGAUAAAGAUUAUUGGUUAUAUUUAGUCAUGUGAGGGCACAUAUAUAUUGGACUUUAUGGAUUUGUGCAUGCUUUGUGGUGAUUUUAAAAUUCUGAGUAGCAAUUUGUGUUGUAAUUAGCAUAUAUGAGGGUACUUCAGAAAGUUCAUGGAAAAUAGAUUCAUUUUUGUAAAGAUUUAUUUUUAAAUCAGAGCAUAGUUGUUCUCAGUACACAGCUGACAUGAACUUUUUGAAGCUCCCAUGUCUGCAUGGAUUUCAACAUUUUUUGAACCAAAAAAUUCUUGUUACUGUGUGAGGUGCCCUCGUCCCCACAUCCGUACUGUGCUACCACCUUCCUCACCUUUUAUGUUUUCAAGUUGGGCUCUUCUACGCACGUGUGUGUUGAGCAAUGCCCGUUCCAUGUCAGUGGGCAAGGUUCUUAGAGCAGACACAAGGUUGCUCUCUGACCAUUGUUUAUCUUUAUUUUUAUCCUCCCAUCUCAUGCUUGUGCAGUGAAAUAUCCUAAUCUGAGAGUUCGGGGGCUUCUGGGUGCUGCCCUGCCACCCUUCCAAGUCCACUUUUUCACAACAGCAUAGAAGCAACGUGCAUAGUAGUGGGCGUUGGCUGUGGAGAGGACCUGUGUUCUGCUUCUGCCGCCUCUCCCAGAGACACCUGAGGUGGACAGGGCCGCCCUGCCAGGGGGUGCCACAGCACAUGAGCAGAAUACCAGCAGGGGUUCCCACUCCACAGAGCAGCCCUGCACUCACACUCCCAGCACACGGCUGGGGCUCCGCUAGCUGGUGCCCAGUGGAGAGGAGCAGGAGCCUCGGUGACACACAGGAGCUGUGCUCCCUCCCGUGCUCCCUGGGGCGCGGUCGUCUCCGAGAGGCAGUGUGGAGAAACUGAACCGUGGCAAGACCAGGAAUUAAACAGGUCAGCCAUGUGCUGUUUCCUGAGGUCGAACUGGUUCACUUGGGACGGCCCUAGAUGUUACAGACUGGUUCACUUGGGACGGCCCUAGAUGCUACAGACUGGUUCGCUUGGGACGGCCCUAGAUGCUACAGACUGGUUCACUUGGGACGGCCCUAGAUGUUACAGACCGGUUCACUUGGGACGGCCCUAGGUGUUACAGACCGGUUCACUUGGGACGGCCCUAGGUGUUACAGACCGGUUCACUUGGGAUGGCCCUAGGUGUUACAGACCGGUUCACUUGGGACGGCCCUAGAUGUUACAGACCGGUUCACUUGGGACGGCCCUAGAUGU